Non-coding RNA from Camellia sinensis, 481 nucleotides. NCBI's taxonomy places the organism in Eukaryota, Viridiplantae, Streptophyta, Magnoliopsida, Ericales, Theaceae. The record is from RefSeq and is a predicted model, not a curated record.
AAUUUUUUUCUAAAAUACUUCAUAAUAUUUCUUUCAUACUUAACAUCACUCAAAAAACAAAAACAAAAACAAAAACAAAAAACAAAAUUAACCCGUAUUUGCCAAUGAACCCACAAAAACAAGGUCCUAAAUGAAAAUGGGGUUUCCUCUUCUGCCUAUAUAUGUAACACUAAUAAAACAGUGUAAAAUGGUGGUUUGAUUUGAAUUAGGUGACUGUGUGAUUGAUGGUCACAAGAUUCCUCAUUGGACAUUCGUGUAACAAGAUGAUUGGCCAAUCUAGAGGUUGUAACUUCGAUGUGUGGUUUCAGAGUGUCAUUGGAAUAAGGGUUUUAAAAACAGACUGAUCAUCUUCUUGUUACACGUGUACAAAUCUCAUGUCACUCUUAUGGGAAAAAUAUCAUAUCCGAGGUGAUGGUAUCAUUUUCCCAGAAGCACAUUGUCAUUACCUCUCUGCAACUCUGCAAACAAGAAAAACAUCUUA